Molecule: long non-coding RNA, 542 nt
Filed under: Canis lupus familiaris (dog)
Lineage: Eukaryota; Metazoa; Chordata; Mammalia; Carnivora; Canidae
Description: lncRNA (ENSCAFG00845006899.1)
Source: RNAcentral
UGUUCAGCUUCAGGUGCUAUGGAGCCUUAGAGAGAAAGACAUUCAAGGACUUUAUAGUUUAAUGGGGGAGAAGGAGAAAACACAAAUGUGUACAUGUAAGCAAGCAGGGCUGGAGGUGUAUAAACAUACACACAGUCCUGACCAUCUGUGCAGAGAUAGAGGCAGAAAUUGACUGCAAGCAUAAAGGUGGGUGGAAGGAGGCAAGCGCCUGGAAUGAGCUCCUUCUGUGGAAAUCUAUCCAGGCCCUAAAGGAAUGGGGGAGGCUAGGCAAGUCAAGGCAUUGUCUACAGAAUGCUGAGCAAAACAUAGAUGUGAGGUGAUCAGCUGGAAAAAAGCAGAGACACAUUGGAAAGUCACACGAAGUGGACAUGGAAAAGGAAGGAAGAGCUAGAUUAAGCUAUACUUCCAGCAUUGGAGCCAGGUGGGAAAGCAAAGCAAAAGCAAAGCAAAACAGCAACCAAAACCCACAAAGUGGUUGGUUAACUGUUGGUAAAACAGCUGAGCUGCAAAGAAGGAGGACCUGCAGACCAGAGCUGACAUGA